Molecule: long non-coding RNA, 1468 nt
Filed under: Homo sapiens (human)
Lineage: Eukaryota; Metazoa; Chordata; Mammalia; Primates; Hominidae
Description: long non-coding RNA NONHSAT196660.1
Source: RNAcentral
GGAAGAUGGCGUGGCGAGGCUGGGCGCAGAGAGGCUGGGGCUGCGGCCAGGCGUGGGGUGCGUCGGUGGGCGGCCGCAGCUGCGAGGAGCUCACUGCGGUCCUAACCCCGCCGCAGCUCCUCGGACGCAGGUUUAACUUCUUUAUUCAACAAAAAUGCGGAUUCAGAAAAGCACCCAGGAAGGUUGAACCUCGAAGAUCAGACCCAGGGACAAGUGGUGAAGCAUACAAGAGAAGUGCUUUGAUUCCUCCUGUGGAAGAAACAGUCUUUUAUCCUUCUCCCUAUCCUAUAAGGAGUCUCAUAAAACCUUUAUUUUUUACUGUUGGGUUUACAGGCUGUGCAUUUGGAUCAGCUGCUAUUUGGCAAUAUGAAUCACUGAAAUCCAGGGUCCAGAGUUAUUUUGAUGGUAUAAAAGCUGAUUGGUUGGAUAGCAUAAGACCACAAAAAGAAGGAGACUUCAGAAAGGAGAUUAACAAGUGGUGGAAUAACCUAAGUGAUGGCCAGCGGACUGUGACAGGUUUGUGUUAGCUUACACGUUUUAACCAUUCAAGGGAAGAGAAAUCAAACCAAAAGGUACAGUAUGUCACAAGCAAUGGCUCUUGUACCAUGCUCACCAGUGGUUUAGAAGACAGUCUCUGUACUGAUAGGCUAAUGUAAUAGUAUAUAAAGUGGUGAGGUAUAAAGGUUUACAUGAUGCUCUGGGUCCGUUACUUUCUAAUUUUGAUUUAGUAUGAUACUGAUUGAUCAGUUUUGUUGUAGAAUUCCAGCUUGUGGAAUAGCUUAUUAAUUAUUACUUCCCUUAUUAAAGAAACUAAUGGAAACAUUAAGUACCUUCUAUAUUCAGGAUGCUGUAAUACACAUUCUGUCCCUACUUGGAGUUGCUUACAGAGUAGUUGUCUCCCUUUUUACAGAUAAGGAAACCGGCUUUCAGAGAAGGAACUUUUGAAAGUCAAACUGCUAGUAAGCAAUAGAGCAGAGUUUCAAAACCCAAGUCUGUCCAUUCGAAAACCAGUUUUCGCUCUUCUCCCCCAUGCUAUUUAUAAAACCCCAUUUAAAUGUAAGCAUGACAUGCAUGUCACCAUGAUAACUUUUUUUCUUUGUAAAUUGUUAUGGAAAGACAGAUUUGGCUCUUCAAGUUAACACCUCUGCAAUAUUUCAUGGAGUCAGUUAUUUGAGAAACUUGAAAAUAGAUUUUUGCCAGGAAGAGUGGCUCAUGCCUGUAAUCCCAGAACUUUGGGAGGCCAAGGUGGGCGGAUUCCUUGAGCUCAGGAGUUCGAGGCCAGCUCAGGCAACAUGACAAAACCCCAUCUCUACCAAAGAUACAAAAAAUUAGCCAGGUGUGGUGGUGCGUGCCUGGGGUCCCAGCUACUUGGGAGGCUGAAGCAGGAGAAUUUUGAACCUGGGAGGCAGAGGUUGCAGUGAGCUGUGGUCCUACUAUUACACUCCAACCUGGGUGACAGAUGAGACUC